RNAcentral lists this unclassified non-coding RNA (520 nucleotides) under uncultured Diversispora. RNAcentral's name for it is "SSU rRNA". It matches the Rfam family "Eukaryotic small subunit ribosomal RNA", at positions 569 to 1090 of the family's 1831-position model. Lineage: Eukaryota; Fungi; Glomeromycota; Glomeromycetes; Diversisporales; Diversisporaceae. The record is from RNAcentral.
AGCAGCCGCGGUAAUUCCAGCUCCAAUAGCGUAUAUUAAAGUUGUUGCAGUUAAAAGCUCGUAGUUGAACUUCGGGGUUUACUCAUUGGUCAGGCUUAAUUGUCUGUACUGGUGAGAUGAAUCUCUACCUUCUGAGGAACUUUCAUGCCAUUUAUUUGGUGUGGUUGGAAAUCAGGACUGUUACUUUGAAAAAAUUAGAGUGUUUAAAGCAGGCUAACGUCUGAAUACAUUAGCAUGGAAUAAUGAAAUAGGACGGAUUGAUUCUAUUUCGUUGGUUUCUAGGGUCACCGUAAUGAUUAAUAGGGAUAGUCGGGGGCAUUAGUAUUCAAUUGUCAGAGGUGAAAUUCUUGGAUUUAUUGAAGACUAACUACUGCGAAAGCAUUUGCCAAGGAUGUUUUCAUUAAUCAAGAACGAAAGUUAGGGGAUCGAAGACGAUCAGAUACCGUCGUAGUCUUAACCAUAAACUAUGCCGACUAGGGAUCGGACGAAGUUAAUUAAUAAUGACGCGUUCGGCACCUUA